This 364-nucleotide long non-coding RNA is filed under the name Ananas comosus (pineapple). Its description in RNAcentral is "long non-coding RNA (ACOM_LNC034739)". Lineage: Eukaryota; Viridiplantae; Streptophyta; Magnoliopsida; Poales; Bromeliaceae. The record is from RNAcentral.
UUCUUCAAUCUUCUUCAAUCACGCACCGAACCCUUCAAGACUACUACUCAAAUCACGAAACCUGCCAACACAAAAUACUAAACAUAUACUCCUAUACUGACUGAUCCCCCUACUCGAGCUUCUUCAGGUCCUCCUCGAGUUUCUGCUUUACGCUGCUUGGGAAAUAGGCCCCGUAAAACAUCCCUCGAAACUCGUCCCACCUCAUCUGCAGUGCAUCCUAACCUUAAUUCUGCCGCAUCCUCCUUCACCAGGCAUGAGCAUCACCUGCCAAACAGUGUACCGCUAGAUGUACCUGCUCUCGCUCCGGUACAAAGAGAUCCUCAAACAGCUUCUCGAUCGCACUCACCCACGCCUUUACAACCUA